GACGAAUGCUGGCGGCGUGCUUAACACAUGCAAGUCGAACGAUGAAGCAAAGAAUUGAAGCUUCGGCAGAAAUUCAUUUCGGAUUAGUGGCGGACGGGUGAGUAACGCGUGAGCAACCUACCUCUUACAAAGGGAUAGCCUCGGGAAACCGGGAUUAAUACCAUAUAACAUUGCGACGAAGCAUUUCGAUGCAAUCAAAGCUACGGCGGUAAGAGAUGGGCUCGCGUCCCAUUAACCAGAUGGUGAGGUAACGGCUCACCAUAGUAACGAUGGGUAACCGGCCUGAGAGGGUGAACGGUCACACUGGAACUGAGACACGGUCCAGACUCCUACGGGAGGCAGCAGUGGGGAAUAUUGCACAAUGGAGGGAACUCUGAUGCAGCGACGCCGCGUGAGUGAUGAAGGAAUUCGUUUCGUAAAACUCUGUUCUAUGGGAAGAAAAGGACUGUACCAUAGGAGAAAGCUCCGGCUAAAUACGUG
RNAcentral lists this ribosomal RNA (480 nucleotides) under uncultured bacterium. Its description in RNAcentral is "partial 16S ribosomal RNA". It matches the Rfam family "Bacterial small subunit ribosomal RNA", at positions 28 to 507 of the family's 1533-position model. The record is from RNAcentral.